UGAACAGCUUCUUCAGCAGUGUGGAUGG
This 28-nucleotide non-coding RNA is filed under the name Homo sapiens (human). Lineage: Eukaryota; Metazoa; Chordata; Mammalia; Primates; Hominidae. The record is from RNAcentral.